UACAGAGGUGGCAAGCGUUGUUCGGAAUUACUGGGCGUAAAGGGCGCGUAGGCGGCCUUGUAAGUCCUGUGUGAAAUCCCCCGGCUCAACUGGGGAACUGCACAGGAGACUGCUUGGCUUGAGUUCGGGAGAGGGAAGCGGAAUUCCGGGUGUAGCGGUGAAAUGCGUAGAUAUCAGGAGGAACACCGGUGGCGAAGGCGGGUCUCUGGGCCGUAACUGACGCUGAGGAGCGAAAGCGUGGGGAGCGAACAGG
Molecule: ribosomal RNA, 253 nt
Filed under: uncultured bacterium
Lineage: Bacteria
Description: partial 16S ribosomal RNA
Rfam family: Bacterial small subunit ribosomal RNA
Source: RNAcentral